GAUGAAGAACGCAGCGAAAUGCGAUAAGUAAUGUGAAUUGCAGAAUUCAGUGAAUCAUCGAAUCUUUGAACGCACAUUGCGCCCGCCAGUAUUCUGGCGGGCAUGCCUGUUCGAGCGUCAUUACAACCCUCAGGCCCCCGGGCCUGGCGUUGGGGAUCGGCGGAAGCCCCCUGUGGGCACACGCCGUCCCUCAAAUACAGUGGCGGUCCCGCCGCAGCUUCCAUUGCGUAGUAGCUAACACCUCGCAACUGGAGAGCGGCGCGGCCAUGCCGUAAAACACCCAACUUCUGAAUGUUGACCUCGAAUCAGGUAGGAAUACCCGCUGAGUUUAAGCAUAUCAAUAAGCGGAGGA
RNAcentral lists this unclassified non-coding RNA (352 nucleotides) under soil metagenome. RNAcentral describes it as "partial contains 5.8S ribosomal RNA, internal transcribed spacer 2, and large subunit ribosomal RNA". The stretch from base 1 to 120 matches the Rfam family "5.8S ribosomal RNA", at positions 35 to 154 of the family's 154-position model. The record is from RNAcentral.